UCCAACUUGAGAGUUUGAUCCUGGCUCAGAGCGAACGCUGGCGGCAGGCUUAACACAUGCAAGUCGAGCGGGCAUAGCAAUAUGUCAGCGGCAGACGGGUGAGUAACGCGUGGGAACGUACCUUUUGGUUCGGAACAACACAGGGAAACUUGUGCUAAUACCGGAUAAGCCCUU
This 174-nucleotide ribosomal RNA is filed under the name Bradyrhizobium sp. MOS004. Its description in RNAcentral is "partial 16S ribosomal RNA". It matches the Rfam family "Bacterial small subunit ribosomal RNA", at positions 1 to 182 of the family's 1533-position model. Lineage: Bacteria; Pseudomonadati; Pseudomonadota; Alphaproteobacteria; Hyphomicrobiales; Nitrobacteraceae. The record is from RNAcentral.